UACGUAGGAGGCGAGCGUUGACCGGAAUUACUGGGUGUAAAGAGCGUGUAGGCGGGUUGGCAAGUCAGAUGUGAAAUACAACGGCUCAACUGGGGGGGUGCAUCUGAAACUGCCGAUCUUGAGUGCUGGAGAGGAAAGCGGAAUUCCUCGUGUAGCGGUGAAAUGCGUAGAUAUGUGGAGGACCACCAGUGGCGAAGGCGGCUUUCUGGACAGUAACUGACGCUGAGGCGAGAAAGCGUGGGGAGCAAACAGG
Molecule: ribosomal RNA, 253 nt
Filed under: uncultured bacterium
Lineage: Bacteria
Description: partial 16S ribosomal RNA
Rfam family: Bacterial small subunit ribosomal RNA
Source: RNAcentral